This 119-nucleotide ribosomal RNA is filed under the name Pteropus alecto (black flying fox). The record is from RNAcentral. Lineage: Eukaryota; Metazoa; Chordata; Mammalia; Chiroptera; Pteropodidae.
GUCUACUGCCAUGCCACCCUGAACACGCCCAAUCCCGUCUGAUCUCAGAAGCUAAGCAGGGUCAGGCCUCAUCAGUAGUUCGAUGGGAGACAACUUAGAAACACCGGGUGCUGUAGGCG